Molecule: ribosomal RNA, 329 nt
Filed under: Escherichia coli
Lineage: Bacteria; Pseudomonadati; Pseudomonadota; Gammaproteobacteria; Enterobacterales; Enterobacteriaceae
Description: bacterial SSU rRNA
Rfam family: Bacterial small subunit ribosomal RNA
Source: RNAcentral
GCUACACACGUGCUACAAUGGGAAGUACAACGAGUUGCGAAGUCGCGAGGCUAAGCUAAUCUCUUAAAGCUUCUCUCAGUUCGGAUUGCAGGCUGCAACUCGCCUGCAUGAAGCCGGAAUCGCUAGUAAUCGCGGAUCAGCACGCCGCGGUGAAUACGUUCCCGGGCCUUGUACACACCGCCCGUCACACCACGAGAGUUUGUAACACCCGAAGUCGGUGAGGUAACCUUUUGGAGCCAGCCGCCUAAGGUGGGAUAGAUGAUUGGGGUGAAGUCGUAACAAGGUAGCCGUAUCGGAAGGUGCGGCUGGAUCACCUCCUUUCUAAGGAA